RNAcentral lists this unclassified non-coding RNA (253 nucleotides) under Pirellulaceae bacterium. RNAcentral describes it as "partial 16S ribosomal RNA". It matches the Rfam family "Bacterial small subunit ribosomal RNA", at positions 524 to 776 of the family's 1533-position model. Lineage: Bacteria; Pseudomonadati; Planctomycetota; Planctomycetia; Pirellulales; Pirellulaceae. RNAcentral also lists the same sequence under 1 other name. The record is from RNAcentral.
GACGAACCGUCCAAACGUUAUUCGGUAUCACUGGGCUUAAAGCGUGCGUAGGCGGUCUGGUAGGUGGGGUGUGAAAUCCCUCGGCUCAACCGAGGAAUUGCGCUCCAAACCCUCAGACUUGAGGAAGACAGGGGUGAGUGGAACUGUUGGUGGAGCGGUGAAAUGCGUUGAUAUCAACAGGAACACCGGUGGCGAAAGCGACUCACUGGGUCUUAUCUGACGCUGAGGCACGAAAGCUAGGGGAGCGAACGGG